CCUACGGGAGGCAGCAGUGGGGAAUCUUGGACAAUGGGCGCAAGCCUGAUCCAGCCAUGCCGCGUGUGUGAUGAAGGCCUUAGGGUCGUAAAGCACUUUCGCUAGAGAUGAUAAUGACAGUAUCUAGUAAAGAAGUCCCGGCUAACUCCGUGCCAGCAGCCGCGGUAAU
Molecule: ribosomal RNA, 169 nt
Filed under: uncultured Alphaproteobacteria bacterium
Lineage: Bacteria; Pseudomonadati; Pseudomonadota; Alphaproteobacteria
Description: partial 16S ribosomal RNA
Rfam family: Bacterial small subunit ribosomal RNA
Source: RNAcentral